RNAcentral lists this ribosomal RNA (174 nucleotides) under Conocara sp. ASIZP:0067999. RNAcentral describes it as "partial 12S rRNA". The record is from RNAcentral. Lineage: Eukaryota; Metazoa; Chordata; Actinopteri; Alepocephaliformes; Alepocephalidae.
CACCGCGGUUAUACGAGAGGCCCUAGUUGAUAAGCACGGCGUAAAAGAGUGGUUAUGGAGUGUACCCGACUAAAGCCGAAGACCCCCUAGGCUGUCAUACGCAUCUGGGGGCACGAAGCCCUAUCACGAAAGUAGCUUUACUCAAGCCCGCCCGACCCCACGACAGCUGAGAUA